RNAcentral lists this ribosomal RNA (660 nucleotides) under Chaetothyriales sp. A555. RNAcentral's name for it is "SSU rRNA". It matches the Rfam family "Bacterial small subunit ribosomal RNA", at positions 514 to 1208 of the family's 1533-position model. Lineage: Eukaryota; Fungi; Ascomycota; Eurotiomycetes; Chaetothyriales. The record is from RNAcentral.
GUCGCGGUAAUACGUAAAAGACGAGUGUUAUUCAUCUUUAAUCGGUUUAAAGGGUACCUAGACGGAAAAUCAAGCUUAAUUAAACUAAGGACUAGUUUUCUAGAGUUUGACAUGAGAAGGUACGAACUAUCAGAGGAGAGAUAAAAUUUGUUGAUACUGGUGGGACGGACAACGGCGAAGGCAAUCUUCUACUAAAAACUGACGUUGAGGGACGAAGCCUUGGGGAGCGAGAAGGAUUAGAUACCCUAGUAGUCCUUGGAGAAAAUUAUGAGUGCCAUAGACUAAAGUGAAAAAGAAGUUCUUUUAAAAGAACUUUGUAUCUGAGCCUUAAUUGGAUACAAAGGUCUCGAGUAGCAGUUUAUAAAUGAAAGUGUAAGCAUUCCACCUCAUGACUAAAGCGGCAACGCCCAAAUUGAAAUCAUUAGACCGUUUCUGAAACCAGUAGUGAAGUAUGUUAUUUAAUUCGAUAACCCGCGAAUAACCUUACCACGUUUUGAAUUUAUUAAACAAGUGUUGCACGGCUGUCUUCAGUUAAUGUCGUGAGAUUUUGGUUUGUUCCAUUAAUUAACGAAAACCCUUGUUUCAUUUUUAUAUGAAAUAGUUCACCGUUAUAUUGGAAAGAUAAAAGGGAUCAAGACAAGUCAUCAUGGCCUUAAUAAC